AUGGCGAGUGAUAUGCGCCAGUGCGCCGGCGGAAACUUUCGGCCGGUCCCCACACAACCGUACGAUGCAACCGCUGGAAGCCGUCAGAUCUGUCCCUGCUUCGUCCUCCUCCUGACUCGUUUCUUUCCAAAACAAUUGGAGCGCCCGAGUGCAACCACACCUCGCCAUAGCCAUGAAGGUAAACUGACCGAGCUCGAAACACAACCACAUCGCCGGGACUCGCUGCCGCUCGCCGCACUCGCAGAAUCUCCUCCCCCGUUGUCGCCGUCGAAGGAACAAGCCCAUUCCAACAAAUUCUGGAUGCAUCAUGGGCACUCGUGGUCGCCGUCGAAGGAGAGAAGCCCGUUCCAGCAAUUAUGGGCGCCGGUUCCAGCAAACGCUGCGGCUGGUUGCAGCAAAAAAACACCGUGGUCACCAUGGUCCCCGUGGGCGCCGUCGAAGGAGAGAAUCGCUCCAGCAAUUCUGGACGCCGGUUCCAGCAAUCGUCGCAGCAAAUCGACACACCCGCGAAGCGGUUCCAGCAAAUCGAGAUGCUGGUUCCAGCAAAUCUCGACGCCGGUUCCAACAUUAACACAACACAACCUCUACCCCCUUGCAGCACCACCGCAGGCUUGUUGUAUCUCAUGUCUAAGCUGGUUCCAGCAAACGUGUCGCCAGUUGAAGCAUUUUUCUUCAGGCCGCAGUUGCCGUUCAACCCCCCAACGGUGCCGCUCGCCGCACCGUCAGCCCAUGGCUGUCGGGCGCCCUUUGCAGCAGAUGUUGACGGGCCUCGAGCAGAUGCCGCCGGGAGCGGGAGUGGCGCGCACGCGAGCAGGUUCACCACUGGAGCGCAGCCGCGGCAAGCAGAGGGUGGCUGGGCAAGCACAACGCCGGUCAUGCGUGCUUUUUCUUUCUCUCCCGUGGAAGAAAAAUGGAUGA
This 918-nucleotide ribosomal RNA is filed under the name Triticum aestivum (bread wheat). RNAcentral describes it as "partial small subunit ribosomal RNA". Lineage: Eukaryota; Viridiplantae; Streptophyta; Magnoliopsida; Poales; Poaceae. The record is from RNAcentral.